Molecule: non-coding RNA, 30 nt
Filed under: Rattus norvegicus (Norway rat)
Lineage: Eukaryota; Metazoa; Chordata; Mammalia; Rodentia; Muridae
Source: RNAcentral
UAGCCAUAAGAAACUGUCCUCCACAUAGGA